CAGCAUAAUGGAUAGCAAUAUCUAUGGUGGCGACCGGCGCACGGGUGCGUAACGCGUAUGCAACCUACCUUUAACAGGGGGAUAACACUGAGAAAUUGGUACUAAUACCCCAUAAUAUCAUAGAAGGCAUCUUUUAUGGUUGAAAAUUCCGAUGGUUAGAGAUGGGCAUGCGUUGUAUUAGCUAGUUGGUGGGGUAACGGCUCACCAAGGCGACGAUACAUAGGGGGACUGAGAGGAAGGUCCCCACAUUGGAACUGAGACACGGUCCAAACUCC
RNAcentral lists this ribosomal RNA (275 nucleotides) under uncultured Alistipes sp. RNAcentral describes it as "partial 16S ribosomal RNA". It matches the Rfam family "Bacterial small subunit ribosomal RNA", at positions 65 to 339 of the family's 1533-position model. The record is from RNAcentral. Lineage: Bacteria; Pseudomonadati; Bacteroidota; Bacteroidia; Bacteroidales; Rikenellaceae.